This 466-nucleotide ribosomal RNA is filed under the name uncultured bacterium. RNAcentral describes it as "bacterial SSU rRNA". It matches the Rfam family "Bacterial small subunit ribosomal RNA", at positions 338 to 795 of the family's 1533-position model. The record is from RNAcentral.
CCUACGGGGCGCAGCAGUGGGGAAUAUUGCACAAUGGGCGCAAGCCUGAUGCAGCUAUGCCGCGUGUAUGAAGAAGGCCUUAGGGUUGUAAAGUACUUUCAGUUGGGAGGAAGGCGUUGAUGCUAAUAUCAUCAACGAUUGACGUUACCAACAGAAGAAGCACCGGCUAACUCUGUGCCAGCAGCCGCGGUAAUACGGAGGGUGCAAGCGUUAAUCGGAAUUACUGGGCGUAAAGCGCACGCAGGCGGUUGGUUAAGUUAGAUGUGAAAUCCCCGGGCUUAACCUGGGAAUGGCAUCUAAGACUGGUCAGCUAGAGUCUUGUAGAGGGGGGUAGAAUUCCAUGUGUAGCGGUGAAAUGCGUAGAGAUGUGGAGGAAUACCGGUGGCGAAGGCGGCUCCCCUGGACAAAGACUGACGCUCAGGUGCGAAAGCGUGGGGAGCAAACAGGAUUAGAUACCCUCGUAGUC